AUACGAAGGGGGCUAGCGUUGUUCGGAAUUACUGGGCGUAAAGCGCGCGUAGGCGGAUUGGUCAGUUAGGGGUGAAAUCCCAGGGCUUAACCCUGGAACUGCCUCUAAUACUGCCAGUCUUGAGUUCGGGAGAGGUGAGUGGAAUUCCUAGUGUAGAGGUGAAAUUCGUAGAUAUUAGGAAGAACACCAGUGGCGAAGGCGGCUCACUGGCCCGAUACUGACGCUGAGGCGCGAAAGCGUGGGGAGCAAACAGAAUUAGAAACCCUAGUAGUCC
This 274-nucleotide ribosomal RNA is filed under the name uncultured bacterium. Its description in RNAcentral is "partial 16S ribosomal RNA". It matches the Rfam family "Bacterial small subunit ribosomal RNA", at positions 523 to 796 of the family's 1533-position model. The record is from RNAcentral.